This 1107-nucleotide long non-coding RNA is filed under the name Anas platyrhynchos platyrhynchos (common mallard). Its description in RNAcentral is "lncRNA (ENSAPLG00000028543.1)". The record is from RNAcentral. Lineage: Eukaryota; Metazoa; Chordata; Aves; Anseriformes; Anatidae.
AUGGCUGAGGUUGGAAGGGACCUCUGGAGGUCACCCAAUCCAACCCCUGCCGAGCAGGAUCACCUGGAGCACACUGCACAGGAUGGCAUCCAGGCGGGUUGUGAACAUCUCCAGAGCAGGAGACUCACACAGGAGAGAGACACAACCUCUGGCCAACCCGUCCCAGUGCUGUCAGCUCACAGCACAGAAGCGCCCCUCAUGUGGAGCCGGGACCAGUUUGCGCCUGCUGCCCCUCAUCCUGUGGCUGAGCAUAACCGAAAAGAAACCGCUCCCAUCCCCCCGUGCCCACCCCUCAGGUGUUUUUAUAUAUUAACGAGGUCUCCUUUCAGUCUUCUUUUUUCCCAACCCAAACAAGCCCAGCUCUCUCAGCCUGCCCUCACAGCCCAGCUCUCUCCAUCCCCCUCUCGCCAUGCCCUUUCUGCUCCCCCCUCCCAAGCACACCCUCAGCGCCCCUCAGAGCGCGGCCCCGCGGCCCUCCCCGCACCGGGGGGGCGCCGGCAGAGCCGGGUCACGGCCGCCCCCCCCUCACCCAGCACCUCCCGGGGGCUGCCCCCCGCGGCACCCACCCUGAGGGCCGGGGGGGAGCGCAGCGGCCGCCGAAGGUCACGGAGCGGGGACAGCCACCGGUGCCGCUGCGGGGGACGCCGGGAAGGGGAGGCACCGGCCCGGGAGGAGCUGCCGCGGCCCGGGCAGCGCCCUCUGCAGCCGCGGAGGAGCGGAGCCCGGCUCCCGGCCGCUCCUCCCGGCACCGGGGUGCCUGGGGAGCGGGCGGCACCGGCAGGCAGCCCCCCGUUGAGGCGGCUCCGCGCCUGGGGGCUGCUUCCCUGGGUGGAAGGAGGGAUGUGGUGGCGGACCCCGGGACUGGGAGGGGGCCAUGCUUCGUGUAGUGACUGGGAUGGGACCGUGCUUCGUGCUGUGACCGGGACAGGAGCGCGUUUCGCCCCGGGGGAAGCGCAAACGGGGGCAACCACCGGGUCCUCCCCGCUCCGCCCGCCGCCCCCCACAACAUGGCGGCCACCUCCCCUCAGCGCCGCCGCCCGGCUGAGGCGCCCGGUCACGUGGUGCGGGCGGGGCCAGGCCGAGAGCGGGAAAAGGGCGGCCGUGUGA